GGGGCUGCACGCGCGCUACACUGACUGGCUCAGCGUGUGCCUACCCUACGCCGGCAGGCGCGGGUAACCCGUUGAACCCCAUUCGUGAUGGGGAUCGGGGAUUGCAAUUAUUCCCCAUGAACGAGGAAUUCCCAGUAAGUGCGGGUCAUAAGCUUGCGUUGAUUAAGUCCCUGCCCUUUGUACACACCGCCCGUCGCUCCUAC
RNAcentral lists this ribosomal RNA (203 nucleotides) under Chaetoceros curvisetus. RNAcentral's name for it is "partial Eukaryotic small subunit ribosomal RNA". It matches the Rfam family "Eukaryotic small subunit ribosomal RNA", at positions 1483 to 1685 of the family's 1831-position model. Lineage: Eukaryota; Bacillariophyta; Thalassiosirophyceae; Chaetocerotales; Chaetocerotaceae. The record is from RNAcentral.